AGAAUCAACGCUGGCGGCGUGCCUAACACAUGCAAGUCGAACGAGAAAGUGGAGCAAUCCAUGAGUACAGUGGCGCACGGGUGAGUAACACGUGACUACCUACCCUCGAGUGGGGAAUAACCUCGGGAAACCGGGGCUAAUACCGCAUAACAUCUACGGAUCAAAUGCGAAAGCAGCUUGAGGAGGGGGUCGCGGCCAAUUAGCUAGUUGGUGAGGUAAUGGCCCACCAAGGCAAUGAUCGGUA
This 244-nucleotide ribosomal RNA is filed under the name uncultured bacterium. Its description in RNAcentral is "partial small subunit ribosomal RNA". It matches the Rfam family "Bacterial small subunit ribosomal RNA", at positions 26 to 285 of the family's 1533-position model. The record is from RNAcentral.